This 323-nucleotide ribosomal RNA is filed under the name uncultured eukaryote. RNAcentral's name for it is "partial 18S ribosomal RNA". It matches the Rfam family "Eukaryotic small subunit ribosomal RNA", at positions 1470 to 1796 of the family's 1831-position model. The record is from RNAcentral.
CCCUUAGAUGUUCUGGGCCGCACGCGCGCUACACUGAUGCAUUCAACGAGUUUUACCUUGGCCGAGAGGCCUGGGCAAUCUUUUAAACCUGCAUCGUGAUAGGGAUAGAUUAUUGCAAUUAUUAAUCUUGAACGAGGAAUUCCUAGUAAACGCGAAUCAUCAAUUCGCAUUGAUUACGUCCCUGCCCUUUGUACACACCGCCCGUCGCACCUACCGAUUGAAUGCUCAGGUGAGCCAUUCGGACUUUCAUCAUGCUGGUUUCCAGUUUUGAUGAAGGAAAGUCUUGCGAACCUUAUCAUUUAGAGGAAGGAGAAGUCGUAACA